This 1509-nucleotide ribosomal RNA is filed under the name Bacteroides fragilis. Its description in RNAcentral is "bacterial SSU rRNA". It matches the Rfam family "Bacterial small subunit ribosomal RNA". The record is from RNAcentral. Lineage: Bacteria; Pseudomonadati; Bacteroidota; Bacteroidia; Bacteroidales; Bacteroidaceae. RNAcentral also lists the same sequence under 1 other name.
AGAGUUUGAUCCUGGCUCAGGAUGAACGCUAGCUACAGGCUUAACACAUGCAAGUCGAGGGGCAUCAGGAAGAAAGCUUGCUUUCUUUGCUGGCGACCGGCGCACGGGUGAGUAACACGUAUCCAACCUGCCCUUUACUCGGGGAUAGCCUUUCGAAAGAAAGAUUAAUACCCGAUAGCAUAAUGAUUCCGCAUGGUUUCAUUAUUAAAGGAUUCCGGUAAAGGAUGGGGAUGCGUUCCAUUAGGUUGUUGGUGAGGUAACGGCUCACCAAGCCUUCGAUGGAUAGGGGUUCUGAGAGGAAGGUCCCCCACAUUGGAACUGAGACACGGUCCAAACUCCUACGGGAGGCAGCAGUGAGGAAUAUUGGUCAAUGGGCGCUAGCCUGAACCAGCCAAGUAGCGUGAAGGAUGAAGGCUCUAUGGGUCGUAAACUUCUUUUAUAUAAGAAUAAAGUGCAGUAUGUAUACUGUUUUGUAUGUAUUAUAUGAAUAAGGAUCGGCUAACUCCGUGCCAGCAGCCGCGGUAAUACGGAGGAUCCGAGCGUUAUCCGGAUUUAUUGGGUUUAAAGGGAGCGUAGGUGGACUGGUAAGUCAGUUGUGAAAGUUUGCGGCUCAACCGUAAAAUUGCAGUUGAUACUGUCAGUCUUGAGUACAGUAGAGGUGGGCGGAAUUCGUGGUGUAGCGGUGAAAUGCUUAGAUAUCACGAAGAACUCCGAUUGCGAAGGCAGCUCACUGGACUGCAACUGACACUGAUGCUCGAAAGUGUGGGUAUCAAACAGGAUUAGAUACCCUGGUAGUCCACACAGUAAACGAUGAAUACUCGCUGUUUGCGAUAUACAGUAAGCGGCCAAGCGAAAGCAUUAAGUAUUCCACCUGGGGAGUACGCCGGCAACGGUGAAACUCAAAGGAAUUGACGGGGGCCCGCACAAGCGGAGGAACAUGUGGUUUAAUUCGAUGAUACGCGAGGAACCUUACCCGGGCUUAAAUUGCAGUGGAAUGAUGUGGAAACAUGUCAGUGAGCAAUCACCGCUGUGAAGGUGCUGCAUGGUUGUCGUCAGCUCGUGCCGUGAGGUGUCGGCUUAAGUGCCAUAACGAGCGCAACCCUUAUCUUUAGUUACUAACAGGUUAUGCUGAGGACUCUAGAGAGACUGCCGUCGUAAGAUGUGAGGAAGGUGGGGAUGACGUCAAAUCAGCACGGCCCUUACGUCCGGGGCUACACACGUGUUACAAUGGGGGGUACAGAAGGCAGCUAGCGGGUGACCGUAUGCUAAUCCCAAAAUCCUCUCUCAGUUCGGAUCGAAGUCUGCAACCCGACUUCGUGAAGCUGGAUUCGCUAGUAAUCGCGCAUCAGCCACGGCGCGGUGAAUACGUUCCCGGGCCUUGUACACACCGCCCGUCAAGCCAUGGGAGCCGGGGGUACCUGAAGUACGUAACCGCAAGGAUCGUCCUAGGGUAAAACUGGUGACUGGGGCUAAGUCGUAACAAGGUAGCCGUACCGGAAGGUGCGGCUG